UCUCGGCUCUUGCAUCGAUGAAGAACGUAGUGAAAUGCGAUACUUGGUGUGAAUUGCAGAAUCUCGUGAACCAUUGAGUCUUUGAACGCAGUUGUGCCCGAGGCUUUGUGGCCGAGGGCACGCCUGCUUGGGCGUCAUGGCAUCAUCGCCUUUGCUCCUUGCUU
Molecule: ribosomal RNA, 164 nt
Filed under: Meistera aculeata
Lineage: Eukaryota; Viridiplantae; Streptophyta; Magnoliopsida; Zingiberales; Zingiberaceae
Description: 5.8S ribosomal RNA
Rfam family: 5.8S ribosomal RNA (bases 1-137)
About the family: 5.8S ribosomal RNA (5.8S rRNA) is a component of the large subunit of the eukaryotic ribosome. It is transcribed by RNA polymerase I as part of the 45S precursor that also contains 18S and 28S rRNA.
Source: RNAcentral